This is a long non-coding RNA of Oncorhynchus kisutch (coho salmon), 1705 nucleotides long. RefSeq lists it as uncharacterized. The transcript has 2 exons. Lineage: Eukaryota; Metazoa; Chordata; Actinopteri; Salmoniformes; Salmonidae. The record is from RefSeq and is a predicted model, not a curated record.
ACCGGCAGUUGAAGAUCAGCCGUCGUACGGGCUAGGUGAUGGCGGUCGUCUUUUCGGGUAGAACUUGUCGACUGGGUAAACCUCUUGGUGGCGAUGGCUGUAGCACCUAGUGGAGGCUGCUGAGGGGAGAACGACUCAUAAGAAUGGCUGGAGCAUAGCGAAUGGAAUGGCAUCAAACUAUGUAUUUGAUGUAUUUGAUACCAUUCCACCUAUUCCGCUCCAGCCAUUACCAUGAGCCCAUCCUCCGCAAUUAAGGUGCAACCAACCUCCUGUGGUGGCACGUCCCGCAGCGAUCAGCCCUGGCACACUCACACAGGGGAGUUGUCCUGUAUGAGGCAGAUCUAGAGGGGUGCUCAAGGGAAUGAACAUUAGUGUUUCUAUUUAAGUUAGUGUGUGUCAGAAAGGCUACCUCUGACUGAAGUUUGUCUACUACAUGGGUGAGUGCAUCAAGUUGACAUCCACCGCCGAGAAGAUCAAGGCCACCAGGACAGCGAAACAGCACACCAACGCGAAGAUUACGAUGCAUUUCUGCUGAGACUGCAAAAGAGAAGAAACACAUUGACUGUUUGUUAUUUUUAUUUCGCCUAGAGAUGGUCAAAGUGCCCCAACCUUGCACUCACACAGCCUGAUGUAUUGCACCACACAGCAAAUCAUAAAUGAUAGCAGCGUGUUACCAGGGGAAUUUUACACAAACAUGUACAUACUGUGCAUGGCCACAUGUUCAGGCUCCACCAUAUGGCUCUACCAUAUGGAGAAGAGAAGCCAACAGGGAACCCACUGAAGAGGCCUUUUAAUACCAACCUGGUAUUUAUAGCCACUAACUUGACAUAUUUAGGCUGCAUCCUGGAUCCAUAUGGUGAAAAGGUGACCCUUGGUUGGAAGGAUAAUGAUGGGAAAAGGGAGAACAAAGUAGUUACAGGGAGGGCAGGGCUGGUGGUAGAGUGAUCUACUGAAAAUAGGUUGAUUUUGCCCUAAAUCAAUCAUUUAUGAGAAAGUACUGCUCGGAGCUUGUCCAAAUCAUAUGGGACACAUGGACCUUGGCUAAGCCUGAAAAAGGGAUAUUGUAAUGGCAGAAAAUCUGCAUUGUAUACAGUAUAUCAUCACAACACUGUAUUUAUUAGUCUCUCUCAGACAGAUUAUCUAAUAAAAUAAUUGUGGGUAUAUCAAUAACAAGGUCUUGAGGUGUAAUGUAGUCAAAUGCAUUUUUAUUAAAGUAAAUAUGCCAGUGGAAACUGUGUGAACAAUAUUAUGUAUGCUAAUGGUGCACCCUUGUUACUAAUUAUGCUUAGAUGGCAGGUUCAGUGUCAAUGGGGCGGCAGGGUAGCCUAGUGGUUGGACUAGUAACCGGAAGGUUGCAAGUUCAAACCCCCGAGCUGACAAGGUACAAAUCUGUCGUUCUGCCCCUGAACAGGUAGUUAACCCACUGUUCCUAAAGGUAAAAUAAUAUUAAAAUGUUACCCCUAACAUGUUUCAGCUCCUCUGUGCAACAUCUGAUGAUGUGAGAGUGCUAAGCUAUAUUCACUCUGCUAAUUAUGAUCCUCAAAGGGCACCAGCUGAUGAACAACAUGUGCCCAUAGAAAGAUAUGCUGACGUUGAACUGGGAAAUGUACUGUGGAUUUAUAAUUAACAUCAUUUAUACAUGAAUUAUAAUUGCUGCUUCAUGUAAUAACUUGGUAAUUAACUAUUAAAUGAAUUACAGCAACCA